UUUCCUUCCUUUUGUAAUCAGGGUUUUAGAUAACCAAACUUUCCUCUUAUUCUACAGUUUCUUUCAGAAAGGUGGAGAUGUGCAGAAGGGGCUGCAUGAAGUGAGAUGAAAUUUGGGGCAGCUUUUUAAAUUUAGAGAACAAGAAAGGACCCUGAAUUUGAUGCAUCCACAUCACAUCUGUUACCUGGAAUCCACAGUUUGUGAGCUCUGUUCCCAGUUGGGAGAAGUGAAGAGGAUCUGUGAAAACAAGGUCCAAGACCUUGAGAAGCAGUUCUACCUAGCUCAUUCUGAGACAGCAGAAGCUCAGACAGGCAGCACUCAGAAUUCCAAACUGAGGACCAGUGUUAUUUCGCAGACAAGAAAUACAGGACGUGGAAGCCCCAUGCAGGCAUCCCUGCAGUUUGCUGAGUGCCAGUGCAUCGUGCAGUGCCAGGAGCAGGAAGCCAUGCAGGCUGCAGCACACCUUGGAUGUGAGAGCGAGUGCCUUCCUGGGAAGUGUGGGCCCAGCCUCAGGAGCUGCAGGGCCCAGGCUACUCCUCAGCUUCUGCCUCAGGGAAGCUGCAGCACUCUGUGCCUCGGUCCCACCUGCUCUCUGCUGUCUGGCCACAUGCCCUGCACCUGCCCCGCUCUGCCCCCCAGAAGCCUACCAAGCUGGUCAUUUUGA
RNAcentral lists this long non-coding RNA (664 nucleotides) under Junco hyemalis (dark-eyed junco). RNAcentral's name for it is "lncRNA (ENSJHYG00000015767.1)". The record is from RNAcentral. Lineage: Eukaryota; Metazoa; Chordata; Aves; Passeriformes; Passerellidae.